AAUUUUAAACAAUCUACUAGAUAACCAAGUGCAGAGAGGGUGAUACCUCGCUUGGAUUGUGUGCAUAAAUCCCGUUACGCUUGUUGUGAGAUAUUGCAGGAAGAUAAGUAACUCUCUUUUCGGGCAAUCGGAAGAGGUCAUGAAGUGAAAGAAGAUUGAGGGUGUACGCAGUAUGGAGAUUGUGCGUAGUUAGACCAUUAUCAGACGGCGGCGGUGACAAUAGACGCUCUCAGUGAGAGAAUAAUCUGGCAAGGCCUUAUGUAGCAGUAAGAACCAAACCAGAAAUGCUAAAAUAAACCGUUUUGCACUUGAGGUCGAGCAAUCGGCCAAUAACACUAAAGAUAAGUACAAGUAGCCCAAAUCGUGCAUAAAAUUACAAGAGAUAUUGUGCUAAAAUAUUAUUCUGAAUAUCGGGUGAAAGUUGGACGUAACCAAUCGUGCCUAGUCGUUAAAUCGCUACGGAAGUUAUAGGGUCGCUCCUUAUGGCUCAGACCGUGGUAGGCUAUCGGUCAAUAAAUUGCGUACAAUCGAAGUAGAGCGAAGGCUCAUUUGAUAGAUUGUUUAAAG
Molecule: non-coding RNA, 567 nt
Filed under: unclassified sequences
Description: ROOL RNA
Rfam family: ROOL RNA
About the family: Firmicutes, Fusobacteria (1 example), Tenericutes (1 example). Environment (Cow rumen (57))
Source: Rfam by way of RNAcentral